ACGAGAAAGUUCCUUCGGGAGCGAUUAAAGUGGCGCACGGGUGAGUAACGCGUAGACAAUCUGCCCUUCAGUCUGGGACAACUUUUCGAAAGGAGAGCUAAUACCGGAUAACAAUGUUUAACAUAAGUUAAGUAUUUGAAAGCUUUAUGUGCUGAAGGAGGGGUCUGCGUCCCAUUAGCUAGUUGGUAAGGUAAAGGCUUACCAAGGCAACGAUGGGUAGCGGGUUUGAGAGGACGAUCCGCCACACUGGAACUGAGACACGGUCCAGACUCCUACGGGAGGCAGCAGUGGGGAAUAUUGC
This 301-nucleotide ribosomal RNA is filed under the name uncultured bacterium. Its description in RNAcentral is "bacterial SSU rRNA". It matches the Rfam family "Bacterial small subunit ribosomal RNA", at positions 66 to 367 of the family's 1533-position model. The record is from RNAcentral.